GCCAGGUGAGGUGGUGCACACCUGUGAUCUCAGUGGCUCUGGAGGCUGAGGCAGGAGGAUCAGGAACUCAAAGCCAGCCUCAGCGAAAGUGAGGCACUCAGCAACCCAGUGAGACCCUGUCUCUA
This 125-nucleotide small RNA is filed under the name Marmota monax (woodchuck). Lineage: Eukaryota; Metazoa; Chordata; Mammalia; Rodentia; Sciuridae. The record is from RNAcentral.